This 253-nucleotide ribosomal RNA is filed under the name uncultured bacterium. RNAcentral describes it as "partial 16S ribosomal RNA". It matches the Rfam family "Bacterial small subunit ribosomal RNA", at positions 524 to 776 of the family's 1533-position model. The record is from RNAcentral.
UACGGGGGGUGCGAGCGUUGUUCGGAAUUACUGGGCGUAAAGCGCACGUAGGCGGCUUUGUAAGUUAGAGGUGAAAGCCCGGGGCUCAACCCCGGAAUUGCCUUUAAGACUGCAUCGCUUGAAUCCGGGAGAGGUGAGUGGAAUUCCGAGUGUAGAGGUGAAAUGCGUAGAUAUCUGGAGGAACACCGGUGGCGAAGGCGGCAUCCUGGACCGGUAUUGACGCUGAGGUGCGAAAGCGUGGGGAGCAAACAGG